CAACCCUCGAACCCCUCCGGGGGGUCGGCGUUGGGGAUCGGCCCUCCCUUAGCGGGUGGCCGUCCCCGAAAUACAGUGGCGGUCUCGCCGCAGCCUCUCCUGCGCAGUAGUUUGCACACUCGCAUCGGGAGCGCGGCGCGUCCACAGCCGUUAAACACCCAACUUCUGAAA
Molecule: unclassified non-coding RNA, 171 nt
Filed under: uncultured Trichoderma
Lineage: Eukaryota; Fungi; Ascomycota; Sordariomycetes; Hypocreales; Hypocreaceae
Description: sequence contains ITS2
Source: RNAcentral